Lycium ferocissimum is the source of this 854-nucleotide long non-coding RNA. RefSeq lists it as uncharacterized. Lineage: Eukaryota; Viridiplantae; Streptophyta; Magnoliopsida; Solanales; Solanaceae. The record is from RefSeq and is a predicted model, not a curated record. The transcript has 3 exons.
UUAACUACACUUUGCUUUACUAUUCUUUAUGUUACAUUACUUUGUUUCAUCUCUUAUUUCUUUUUUCUUUUUUCUUUCCUAUUCUGCUUAAAGGAAAGAUAUGCAGUUUCUUUAAUGGAUACUUAUACUUCGUGAAAUGUCUAGAAUAGCCAAUUUUGUGCAGACAACUCCAUUUCCUGUGUUCAUGUGCUUAUAUUAACUUGUCCAAUUUUGCGUAUGAUCUUGAGGAGAUAUUUUUGUUAUUAUUGGUCAAAAUGAACAAUAUAUUCACUCCUUCAAUCAGACCCCACAUGUUUAAUUAUGACCUGAUGUUUAGCUUUUGUAACUAGCUCCUAUGUUUUUUUUUUUGAUGAUUUGGGUUGAAACGAACAAAUGGAUACUUGUUGGUCGUGGAGAAACUGAGGCCGAGGAUUAAGAGCUAUUUAUUUUUUCAUUUGUAUUUUUGGUGCAGAGAAAGCAUUAUUACUAUAUAGUGGUAGUUGGAUAGAUAUUCAGAAAGCUCAAUGCUGAACUAAUAUAAUAUUAGUCACCAUCAACAACAUACCUAGUAUAAUCCCACAAAUGGGGUCUUGGGAGGGUGAGGUGUACGCCGACCUUCCCCCUACCUUUGUGGGGUAGAGAGGCUGUUUCCAGUAGGCAAUAUAUUUGUCACCAUUAUGGUGCAAAUUAAUAAAUAUCUUUUGAUUCAUAUCUCAGGAGAAGUCAAAGGUAGUAUUUGGAUGGGUGAGGGUAGGGAUUCCAUUUUGGGCCUGUAGUACGCCAACUAGAUCAAGAUAGAGGAGUUCCUUAAUCAGCAGCAGUAUUAACAAAUAAAGAACUAAGAAGAAGCAGGAUGUACAUGUAAGCAGGUUAUG